Transfer RNA from Loxodonta africana (African savanna elephant), 71 nucleotides. It matches the Rfam family "tRNA". From Rfam's summary of the family: Transfer RNA (tRNA) molecules are approximately 80 nucleotides in length. Their secondary structure includes four short double-helical elements and three loops (D, anti-codon, and T loops). Further hydrogen bonds mediate the characteristic L-shaped molecular structure. tRNAs have two regions of fundamental functional importance: the anti-codon, which is responsible for specific mRNA codon recognition, and the 3' end, to which the tRNAs corresponding amino acid is attached (by aminoacyl-tRNA synthetases). tRNAs cope with the degeneracy of the genetic code in two manners: having more than one tRNA (with a specific anti-codon) for a particular amino acid; and 'wobble' base-pairing, i.e. permitting non-standard base-pairing at the 3rd anti-codon position. NCBI's taxonomy places the organism in Eukaryota, Metazoa, Chordata, Mammalia, Proboscidea, Elephantidae. The record is from Rfam.
GCAAUGGUGGUUCAGUGGUAGGAUACUUGUCUUCCAUGCAGGAGACCCGGAUUUGAUUCCUGGCCAAUGCA